GGGGACAUAGUAUAACCUGGCAGAACGUGAGGCUCCAGACCUUAAGGUCGGGGUUCAAAUCCCCGUGUCCCCA
This 73-nucleotide transfer RNA is filed under the name Candidatus Woesearchaeota archaeon. RNAcentral describes it as "tRNA-Trp". It matches the Rfam family "tRNA". Rfam says of the family: Transfer RNA (tRNA) molecules are approximately 80 nucleotides in length. Their secondary structure includes four short double-helical elements and three loops (D, anti-codon, and T loops). Lineage: Archaea; Nanobdellati; Candidatus Woesearchaeota. The record is from RNAcentral.